AUUGAACGCUGGCGGCAGGCCUAACACAUGCAAGUCGAGCGGAUGAAGGGAGCUUGCUCCUGGAUUCAGCGGCGGACGGGUGAGUAAUGCCUAGGAAUCUGCCUGGUAGUGGGGGAUAACGUCCGGAAACGGGCGCUAAUACCGCAUACGUCCUGAGGGAGAAAGUGGGGGAUCUUCGGACCUCACGCUAUCAGAUGAGCCUAGGUCGGAUUAGCUAGUUGGUGGGGUAAAGGCCUACCAAGGCGACGAUCCGUAACUGGUCUGAGAGGAUGAUCAGUCACACUGGAACUGAGACACGGUCCAGACUCCUACGGGAGGCAGCAGUGGGGAAUAUUGGACAAUGGGCGAAAGCCUGAUCCAGCCAUGCCGCGUGUGUGAAGAAGGUCUUCGGAUUGUAAAGCACUUUAAGUUGGGAGGAAGGGCAGUAAGUUAAUACCUUGCUGUUUUGACGUUACCAACAGAAUAGCAC
RNAcentral lists this ribosomal RNA (469 nucleotides) under Pseudomonas aeruginosa. Its description in RNAcentral is "bacterial SSU rRNA". It matches the Rfam family "Bacterial small subunit ribosomal RNA", at positions 30 to 493 of the family's 1533-position model. Lineage: Bacteria; Pseudomonadati; Pseudomonadota; Gammaproteobacteria; Pseudomonadales; Pseudomonadaceae. The record is from RNAcentral.